ACAAUGCAUUCAGUAAGAGUGGAUUUGUAUUCCAUGGGGCCUGAAACUUUUGCAGUGGACAUUAGGAGAGGCUUAGACAAAUGGAGAAUUCUGAGGGUGCACUUCAAAGCCCAGGUGUGGAAUGCCUGCAGGAGGAACACAAAAGUGAGGUUGAGCUUCUUUGGCUGCAGGAGCAAUCUAGCUCCUGCCACAGCUUACCAUGUAAAACCUUCCCCUCCCCCAUCUCUCUGUCUCUGUGUCACUCUGUGUCUCUCUAUGUCUCUCUCUGUGUCUCUCUCUCUCUCUCUCUCUCUCUCCUGAGGAUAAGAAGCUGCAUGCUGGGUUAAGACAAUUCAUUUUUCUCCUCAUUAGUCAGUGGAAAUCUGCUUCAUGGAUCCAUUUC
Molecule: long non-coding RNA, 382 nt
Organism: Perognathus longimembris pacificus (Pacific pocket mouse)
Lineage: Eukaryota; Metazoa; Chordata; Mammalia; Rodentia; Heteromyidae
Exons: 2
Source: RefSeq, a predicted model, not a curated record